This 460-nucleotide ribosomal RNA is filed under the name uncultured bacterium. RNAcentral describes it as "partial 16S ribosomal RNA". It matches the Rfam family "Bacterial small subunit ribosomal RNA", at positions 338 to 795 of the family's 1533-position model. The record is from RNAcentral.
CCUACGGGUGGCAGCAGUGAGGAAUAUUGGUCAAUGGACGCAAGUCUGAACCAGCCAUGCCGCGUGCAGGAUGACGGCUCUAUGAGUUGUAAACUGCUUUUGUACGAGGGUAAACCCCGAUACGUGUAUCGGGUUGAAAGUAUCGUACGAAUAAGAAUCGGCUAACUCCGUGCCAGCAGCCGCGUUAAUACGGAGGAGCCGAGCGUUAUCCGGAUUUAUUGGGUUUAAAGGGUGCGUAGGCGGUUUGAUAAGUUAGAGGUGAAAUUUCGGGGCUCAACCCCGAAACUGCCUCUAUUACUGUGGGACUAGAGAGUAGUUGCGGUAGGCGGAAUGUAUGGUGUAGCGGUGAAAUGCUUAGAGAUCAUAAAGAACACCGAUGGCGAAGGCAGCUUACCAAACUAUAUCUGACGUUGAGGCACGAAAGCGUGGGUAGCAAACAGGAUUAGAUACCCUUGUAGUC